This 495-nucleotide ribosomal RNA is filed under the name uncultured bacterium. RNAcentral's name for it is "bacterial SSU rRNA". It matches the Rfam family "Bacterial small subunit ribosomal RNA", at positions 16 to 507 of the family's 1533-position model. The record is from RNAcentral.
AUCCUGGCUCAGGAUGAACGCUAGCGGCAGGCUUAAUACAUGCAAGUCGUGGGGCAGCAUGAGUAGCAAUACUUGAUGGCGACCGGCAAACGGGUGAGGAACACGUACACAACCUUCCUUCAAGCGGGGAAUAGCCCAGAGAAAUUUGGAUUAAUACCCAUAAUAUAUUUGAUAAGGCAUCUUAUUAAUAUUAAAGCUUCGGCACUUGAUGAUGGGUGUGCGGCUGAUUAGAUAGUUGGCGGGGUAACGGCCCACCAAGUCUACGAUCAGUAGCUGAUGUGAGAGCAUGAUCAGCCACACGGGCACUAAGACACGGGCCCGACUCCUACGGGAGGCAGCAGUAAGGAAUAUUGGACAAUGGACGAAAGUCUGAUCCAGCCAUGCCGCGUGAAGGAUUAAGGUCCUCUGGAUUGUAAACUUCUUUUAUAUGGGACGAAAAAGGGCAUUCUUGUUCACUUGACGGUACCAUAUGAAUAAGCACCGGCUAACUCCGUG